RNAcentral lists this ribosomal RNA (503 nucleotides) under uncultured bacterium. Its description in RNAcentral is "partial 16S ribosomal RNA". It matches the Rfam family "Bacterial small subunit ribosomal RNA", at positions 28 to 523 of the family's 1533-position model. The record is from RNAcentral.
GAUGAACGCUAGCUACAGGCUUAACACAUGCAAGUCGAGGGGCAGCAUGACGAUAGCUUGCUAUUGUUGAUGGCGACCGGCGCACGGGUGAGUAACGCGUAUCCAACCUGCCCUUGUCCACCGGAUAACCCGUCGAAAGGCGGACUAACACGGUAUGCAGUCCACAGCAGACAUCUAACGUGGACGAAAUGUGAAGGAGAAGGAUGGGGAUGCGUCUGAUUAGCUUGUUGGCGGGGUAACGGCCCACCAAGGCGACGAUCAGUAGGGGUUCUGAGAGGAAGGUCCCCCACAUUGGAACUGAGACACGGUCCAAACUCCUACGGGAGGCAGCAGUGAGGAAUAUUGGUCAAUGGGCGAGAGCCUGAACCAGCCAAGUAGCGUGCAGGAAGACGGCCCUAUGGGUUGUAAACUGCUUUAUACGGGGAUAAGGUGAGUCACGUGUGGCUUAUUGCAGGUACCGUAUGAAUAAGGACCGGCUAAUUCCGUGCCAGCAGCCGCCGUAA